GACGAACGCUGGCGGCGUGCUUAACACAUGCAAGUCGAACGGAAAGGCCCUGCUUUGGUGGGGUGCUCGAGGUGCGAACGGGUGAGUAACACGUGAGUAACCUACCCUUGACUGUGGGAUAACUUCAGGAAGCUUGGGCUAAUACCGGAUAGGAGCUCCUGCUGCAUGGUGGGGGUGGGAAAGUUUCGGCGGUUGGGGAUGGACUCGCGUCUUAUCAGCUUGUUGGUGGGGUAGUGGCUUACCAAGGCUUUGACGGGUAGCCGGCCGGAGAGGGUGACCGGCCACAUCGGGACUGAGAUACGGCCCAGCCCCCUCCGGGAGGCAGCAGUGCGGAAUAUUGCACAAUGGGCGGAAGCCUGAUGCAGCAACGCCGCGUGCGGGAUGACGGCCUUCGGGUUGUAAACCGAUUUCGCCUGUGACGAAGCGUGAGUGACGGUAAUGGGUAAAGAAGCACCGGCUAACUACGUG
RNAcentral lists this ribosomal RNA (468 nucleotides) under uncultured bacterium. Its description in RNAcentral is "partial 16S ribosomal RNA". It matches the Rfam family "Bacterial small subunit ribosomal RNA", at positions 28 to 507 of the family's 1533-position model. The record is from RNAcentral.